Molecule: long non-coding RNA, 172 nt
Organism: Suncus etruscus (white-toothed pygmy shrew)
Lineage: Eukaryota; Metazoa; Chordata; Mammalia; Eulipotyphla; Soricidae
Exons: 2
Source: RefSeq, a predicted model, not a curated record
GUAUCAGCAAAAAUGCAUCUGGAAAAUUGCAGAGACAACAAAAACUUGAUAAUAAAUUAGUUACUGAUAGUAAAUUAGAUCUUUCCAACUUGUAAGACAUCAAAUUGCACUUCAGUAUUGUAUAUCCUUAUGACUGGUAGUAUCAUUAAAUGUGUAAUAUUUUACAAAUAAA